This 588-nucleotide ribosomal RNA is filed under the name Colletotrichum gloeosporioides. RNAcentral describes it as "eukaryotic LSU rRNA". The stretch from base 230 to 383 matches the Rfam family "5.8S ribosomal RNA". The record is from RNAcentral. Lineage: Eukaryota; Fungi; Ascomycota; Sordariomycetes; Glomerellales; Glomerellaceae.
AGAGGAAGUAAAAGUCGUAACAAGGUCUCCGUUGGUGAACCAGCGGAGGGAUCAUUACUGAGUUUACGCUCUACAACCCUUUGUGAACAUACCUAUAACUGUUGCUUCGGCGGGUAGGGUCUCCGCGACCCUCCCGGCCUCCCGCCUCCGGGCGGGUCGGCGCCCGCCGGAGGAUAACCAAACUCUGAUUUAACGACGUUUCUUCUGAGUGGUACAAGCAAAUAAUCAAAACUUUUAACAACGGAUCUCUUGGUUCUGGCAUCGAUGAAGAACGCAGCGAAAUGCGAUAAGUAAUGUGAAUUGCAGAAUUCAGUGAAUCAUCGAAUCUUUGAACGCACAUUGCGCCCGCCAGCAUUCUGGCGGGCAUGCCUGUUCGAGCGUCAUUUCAACCCUCAAGCUCUGCUUGGUGUUGGGGCCCUACAGCCGAUGUAGGCCCUCAAAGGUAGUGGCGGACCCUCCCGGAGCCUCCUUUGCGUAGUAACUUUACGUCUCGCACUGGGAUCCGGAGGGACUCUUGCCGUAAAACCCCCCAAUUUUCCAAAGGUUGACCUCGGAUCAGGUAGGAAUACCCGCUGAACUUAAGCAUAU